Molecule: ribosomal RNA, 2796 nt
Filed under: Triticum aestivum (bread wheat)
Lineage: Eukaryota; Viridiplantae; Streptophyta; Magnoliopsida; Poales; Poaceae
Description: partial small subunit ribosomal RNA
Source: RNAcentral
AUGGAUCUGGCCAUGGGGGCCAUGGGCUCCCUCCUCCCCAAGCUGCUCGAGGUCAUCAAGGACGAGUACAACCUACAGAAGGAAGUUAAGCAAAAGGUCGAGUCCUUCUCCACUGAGCUGGAAGCUAUGCAAGCUGCCCUUGGCAAGGUGGCAGAGGUGCCGCGGGAUCAACUCGAAGACGAGACCAAAGUUUGGGCUGACGAAGUUAGGGAGCUGUCUUACGAAAUGGAGGAUGUCAUCGACUCUUUCCUGGUGCGUGUUGUGGGCUGCGACCCCAACCCUAAUGAUGAGCAGAACAGGCUCGAGAAGCUCUGGGUCAGCUUCAAGAAGCUGUUUAAAAGGGGCAAGGCAAAACAUCGGAUUUCCACAGAUAUUGAAGAGAUUGACAAGCAGUUGCAAAAAGUCGCCAUCCGACACGAAAGGUAUAAAACUCCUAAUCUACCUGCAGCCACAAGGGCCACCCUUGAUCCUUUCUUGGAGGUUCUCUAUGGAGAUAAGAAGAAUAUCAUCGGCCUAGAGGAAGCAAGGAACGAUAUUAUCAAGAAGAUCACUGAGGGUGACUGUAAGCAACUCAAGACACUCUCUAUUGUUGGAUUUGGAGGAUUGGGCAAGACUACGCUUGCCAAAGAAGUAUAUGAUGCCCUUGCAACAAAAUUUGGACACAAAGCUUUUGUGUCUGUGUCUCGGAAUCCCGACAUGAGGAAAGUAUUAAGCGAUCUUCUCUUUAAACUUGACAAGAAAAUACAUGCUAGUCAUAAUGCAGAAAAUUUGGCAGUAGAGAAGCUCAUCAUCCUAAUUAAAGAAUUUCUUAGCAACAAAAGGUACUUUAUAAUUCUCGAUGAUUUAUGGGAUAAAAAAGCAUGGAAAGAAAUCAGUUAUGCACUUAUGGACGAUGAGUGUGGAAGUAUAAUAAUCACUACAACCCGCCAUGUUGAGAUCUCUAAGGAAUGUUGCUCUUCUAAAGAUGGUAUGAUUCAUAAGAUGAAAUCUCUCUCUGAUGAUGACUCACAAAAACUUUUCUAUGGAAGAAUAUUUCUAAGUGAGGUGUGUCCUUCUCGGUUUGAGAAAGUAUCCAAAGAGAUCUUGAAGAAAUGUGCAGGGGUACCAUUAGCCAUCAUUAGUCUGGCUAGUUAUUUGGCUAACAAUCAGAACAGAGACCAAAUUGAUCAAUGGGAAGCUUUGCUCACUUCUAUUGGCCGUGGACUUAAAAAUGGUGAUGAUCAUGUGGACGAGAUGAAGAGGAUAUUGUUAUUGAGCUAUUAUGAUCUCCCUUCCUAUUUGAAAACAUGCUUUUUAUAUCUAAGUAUCUUUCCCGAAGAUCAUCAAAUUAGCAGAGACCGGUUGAUAAGGAGAUGGAUUUGUGAAGGUUUUAUCCAAGUAAAAGGUCAAACCAGCCCACUUGCAGAAAAUCAACCUAGUCUCCUUGAGCUUGGAGAUGCCUACUUCAACGAGUUAGUAAACAGGAACAUGAUCAUGCCGAUAAACAUACAUGGUGGUAGGGUUGAAGCUUGUUGUGUACAUGAUAUAAUGCUGGAUCUUAUAUGUGAAUUGUCAAGCGAAGAAAACUUUGUUACUGUAUUGGACUUCAUCAAGGGAGACACACCUUCGGAAAAGAAGUUCCGCAGGUUGUCCCUCCAAAAGGGCAUGACAGAUCCCACCACUACUCGGAUGGCUACCACAAGCAUGUCACAAGUGAGGUCUUUUACCACUUUUAGUCCCUCUGUCAGUAAGAUUCCAUCUCUUUCUAGAUUUCAAGUUUUGCGUGUAUUGGAUCUGGAAGGUUGUGAUCUUCAAAAAAUCCCUGGCAUUGACCUUAGUCAUGUUGAGAAGUUGUUACAUCUGAGAUAUCUGGGGUUAAGGGGCACAAAGGUUGGCAAGCUCCCUAUGGAAAUAGGAAAGCUACGGUUUUUGCAGACACUAGACUUGCAAUUGACCAAUUCAAAACAAUUGCCGUCCAGUGUUGUUCAGCUGAGGCAUUUGAUGUGCCUAAUCCUUGAUUUUGAUAUGCCACUACCAAAAGGGUUCAGCAACAUGACAUGCCUUGAACAGCUGAUGGGGCACAAUAUGGGCUUUGUUUCUGAAGAAACUGCAAAAGAGCUGGGCCAUCUGAGCAGGUUAAGAGAGCUCGCCUUUAGAUUUGAUUCAGAUAUUGGCGAGGGAGUUGAUGAAGCUAGUAAAGCUCUGAUUGGAUCCCUAGCCAAGCUAUACAAACUCGAGAGCCUGGAGAUCUCCUCUCCUAAGUAUUGGUUUGACAAUGUCCUUAUGGAUUGGGUGCCGUCACAAAACCUACAAAGGCUUAGAUUGUACGGAAAAUUCAGGAGGUUGCCUACAUGGAUUUGUUCUUCGUCUCUACCUCUACUCUCCUACCUUGAUCUAACUGCCAUAGAAGUGCGAUCCAGAGAUAUCCAGAUCCUUGGGAUGCUGCCGGCUCUCCGUUAUGUCUCCCUUGACACACGCAGUACCAAAGUAGUGGUGCAGAAGCUAGUGGUUAGCGCCGGUGCCUUCCUACAGGCGAGGGUAUGCCUUUUCCAAGGAAUUAUACUAGUGAACCCUACGUUCCAGCACGGAGCUAUGCCAAUGGUUCAACGCCUCCGCUUCGGUCUCCGAGUGAAUGACAUCAUCAGUCCCGACUUCAAUUUGAGCACACGGAACCUUCCUUCGCUACAGCAACUCAGAAUUGACCUUCUCGAUUAUGAAAUCAAACCUGAGGAUUAUUCUCAAGCCAUGGACGCGCUGAGGCGUGUGGCAGAAGGCCAUCCUAAGAAUCCCACCCUUCGUGCUGAUAAAUUCAUUUGA